UCAGUAAGAAUAAGGACUCUAACACAAACUAAACCUAAUGAAUAGCAGUCACCUAUUAGUCUGUCCCUCAGUUAUGACUGGGCUGAGGAGAACCACCAUGUCAGUAAUGUCAUUCACCCAGCCUAACCCAGCUUUUUAGCCGAGGUUAAUGGAGCAAACACUCCCUUAACCCGGGCUUCCUGCCCGUGUGUGAGCUCAGUCUGCUUCCAGCGUGGAAGAUUCCUGGGGGAAUCUCCCAAUGCACUGUGCUUGGUGUUUACUGUGCAUUGUGGGAUACCUGGAGGCUGGGAUGCAUGGCUAGCAUUCCCACCAACAUUUUGCAAAUUGUCGGAGCGGGGAGGUGAGUGAAGUGAAGGCUUCCCCUGUCCGGUCGGUUGUGUGAACGACCUCACUGAAUUUCUCCAGCCUGUGUCCUGGCACUGCAAGUUCUAAAGAGCUAUUGAUAUGGGCCCCUAACAGGUUGGCUCCACCCUCCCAGAAAGGUCAAACUACACAAUGUACUGCAGAUGCCAGCGGCAUAGCUAGGGGAGAGGGGGCCUGUGUUCACCCCUCUCCCUGGUGGCCCCUUGGAAUGAGGGAGAUAAUGAAGAAAAUAGGGUGAGGUCUGGCUGGGGGGGCCCUCAGGAGCUGGGGCCCCCCGGGUUCUUUGAACCCAUCCGCUCAGUUAUAGCUACACACCUGGCAGCUAUGUAUAGGCUUUCUUCAUUGCAAAUCACCCUUGGAAGUGGAUACUGUGCCACACGUAAGGUGCUAUGGUUACCCCACCCCCCACCCACUGCUUUCCCCUGCAAUUUCUCUUCUUCCUUCCCCAUCUGCUUUCAGCCCAUCAAUGUACCAGGUCUGUACUUGUGAACUAAAUGUGGGCCUGGGAUUCCAUGUUGGGGAAGCACCUGGGUAGGUAGUGGGCUCACAAGUGCCAGAAAAUCUGAAAUAUUCACCCUCUUCCUGUUUAUUCUGCCCUCUUCUGGCGUGUGGGGGUUGCAACAAAUAAGAGGACUGUGGGCUAAUGUCACCUUAGCUACAGAACACCACACAGCUUGGCCCUAAGUGGCGUGUCAUUGCUCAACAGCUGCAGCUGCAUAUUCUUCAGAUGUAUGGCUGGAUAUACUGGUCUGCUCUGAGCUCCCAUCAAUGAAUGGAAAUGCAGAAUAUAAAAACAGUAAACAACAAAUAAAUCAGUACCUGUGCAAGAAAAGAUAGAAUUAUGAAAAACCGUAAUUACAUAUGAACAUAUAUGGAACUGCCUUAUAUGAAGUCAGAUCAUUGGGCUAUCUAGAAACCUGCAGAAGCUGUUUGAGCAUAGAAAACACUUUCAGGAAUGCCUGUCAGGACCACAAUAAAACUGUACUGA
Molecule: long non-coding RNA, 1351 nt
Organism: Hemicordylus capensis (graceful crag lizard)
Lineage: Eukaryota; Metazoa; Chordata; Lepidosauria; Squamata; Cordylidae
Exons: 3
Source: RefSeq, a predicted model, not a curated record